GGUUAAGCGACUAAGCGUACACGGUGGAUGCCCUGGCAGUCAGAGGCGAUGAAGGACGUGCUAAUCUGCGAUAAGCGUCGGUAAGGUGAUAUGAACCGUUAUAACCGGCGAUUUCCGAAUGGGGAAACCCAGUGUGUUUCGACACACUAUCAUUAACUGAAUCCAUAGGUUAAUGAGGCGAACCGGGGGAACUGAAACAUCUAAGUACCCCGAGGAAAAGAAAUCAACCGAGAUUCCCCCAGUAGCGGCGAGCGAACGGGGAGCAGCCCAGAGCCUGAAUCAGUGUGUGUGUUAGUGGAAGCGUCUGGAAAGGCGCGCGAUACAGGGUGACAGCCCCGUACACAAAAAUGCACAUGCUGUGAGCUCGAUGAGUAGGGCGGGACACGUGGUAUCCUGUCUGAAUAUGGGGGGACCAUCCUCCAAGGCUAAAUACUCCUGACUGACCGAUAGUGAACCAGUACCGUGAGGGAAAGGCGAAAAGAACCCCGGCGAGGGGAGUGAAAAAGAACCUGAAACCGUGUACGUACAAGCAGUGGGAGCACGCUUAGGCGUGUGACUGCGUACCUUUGUAUAAUGGGUCAGCGACUUAUAUUCUGUAGCAAGGUUAACCGAAUAGGGAGCCGAAGGGAAACCGAGUCUUAACUGGGCGUUAAGUUGCAGGGUAUAGACCCGAAACCCGGUGAUCUAGCCAUGGGCAGGUUGAAGGUUGGGUAACACUAACUGGAGGACCGAACCGACUAAUGUUGAAAAAUUAGCGGAUGACUUGUGGCUGGGGGUGAAAGGCCAAUCAAACCGGGAGAUAGCUGGUUCUCCCCGAAAGCUAUUUAGGUAGCGCCUCGUGAAUUCAUCUCCGGGGGUAGAGCACUGUUUCGGCAAGGCCGUCAUCCCGACUUACCAACCCGAUGCAAACUGCGAAUACCGGAGAAUGUUAUCACGGGAGACACACGGCGGGUGCUAACGUCCGUCGUGAAGAGGGAAACAACCCAGACCGCCAGCUAAGGUCCCAAAGUCAUGGUUAAGUGGGAAACGAUGUGGGAAGGCCCAGACAGCCAGGAUGUUGGCUUAGAAGCAGCCAUCAUUUAAAGAAAGCGUAAUAGCUCACUGGUCGAGUCGGCCUGCGCGGAAGAUGUAACGGGGCUAAACCAUGCACCGAAGCUGCGGCAGCGACACUAUGUGUUGUUGAGUAGGGGAGCGUUCUGUAAGCCUGUGAAGGUGUGCUGUGAGGCAUGCUGGAGGUAUCAGAAGUGCGAAUGCUGACAUAAGUAACGAUAAAGCGGGUGAAAAGCCCGCUCGCCGGAAGACCAAGGGUUCCUGUCCAACGUUAAUCGGGGCAGGGUGAGUCGACCCCUAAGGCGAGGCCGAAAGGCGUAGUCGAUGGGAAACAGGUUAAUAUUCCUGUACUUGGUGUUACUGCGAAGGGGGGACGGAGAAGGCUAUGUUGGCCGGGCGACGGUUGUCCCGGUUUAAGCGUGUAGGCUGGUUUUCCAGGCAAAUCCGGAAAAUCAAGGCUGAGGCGUGAUGACGAGGCACUACGGUGCUGAAGCAACAAAUGCCCUGCUUCCAGGAAAAGCCUCUAAGCAUCAGGUAACAUCAAAUCGUACCCCAAACCGACACAGGUGGUCAGGUAGAGAAUACCAAGGCGCUUGAGAGAACUCGGGUGAAGGAACUAGGCAAAAUGGUGCCGUAACUUCGGGAGAAGGCACGCUGAUAUGUAGGUGAAGCGACUUGCUCGUGGAGCUGAAAUCAGUCGAAGAUACCAGCUGGCUGCAACUGUUUAUUAAAAACACAGCACUGUGCAAACACGAAAGUGGACGUAUACGGUGUGACGCCUGCCCGGUGCCGGAAGGUUAAUUGAUGGGGUUAGCGCAAGCGAAGCUCUUGAUCGAAGCCCCGGUAAACGGCGGCCGUAACUAUAACGGUCCUAAGGUAGCGAAAUUCCUUGUCGGGUAAGUUCCGACCUGCACGAAUGGCGUAAUGAUGGCCAGGCUGUCUCCACCCGAGACUCAGUGAAAUUGAACUCGCUGUGAAGAUGCAGUGUACCCGCGGCAAGACGGAAAGACCCCGUGAACCUUUACUAUAGCUUGACACUGAACAUUGAGCCUUGAUGUGUAGGAUAGGUGGGAGGCUUAGAAGUGUGGACGCCAGUCUGCAUGGAGCCGACCUUGAAAUACCACCCUUUAAUGUUUGAUGUUCUAACGUUGACCCGUAAUCCGGGUUGCGGACAGUGUCUGGUGGGUAGUUUGACUGGGGCGGUCUCCUCCUAAAGAGUAACGGAGGAGCACGAAGGUUGGCUAAUCCUGGUCGGACAUCAGGAGGUUAGUGCAAUGGCAUAAGCCAGCUUGACUGCGAGCGUGACGGCGCGAGCAGGUGCGAAAGCAGGUCAUAGUGAUCCGGUGGUUCUGAAUGGAAGGGCCAUCGCUCAACGGAUAAAAGGUACUCCGGGGAUAACAGGCUGAUACCGCCCAAGAGUUCAUAUCGACGGCGGUGUUUGGCACCUCGAUGUCGGCUCAUCACAUCCUGGGGCUGAAGUAGGUCCCAAGGGUAUGGCUGUUCGCCAUUUAAAGUGGUACGCGAGCUGGGUUUAGAACGUCGUGAGACAGUUCGGUCCCUAUCUGCCGUGGGCGCUGGAGAACUGAGGGGGCUGGUCCUGGUAGGAGAGGACCGGAGUGGACGCAUCACUGGUGUUCGGGUUGUCAUGCCAAUGGCACUGCCCGGUAGCUAAAUGCGGAAGAGAUAAGUGCUGAAAGCAUCUAAGCACGAAACUUGCCCCGAGAUGAGUUCUCCCUGACUCCUUGAGAGUCCUGAAGGAACGUUGAAGACGACGACGUUGAUAGGCCGGGUGUGUAAGCGCAGCGAUGCGUUGAGCUAACCGGUACUAAUGAACCGUGAGGCUUAACCUU
This 2900-nucleotide ribosomal RNA is filed under the name Escherichia coli. Its description in RNAcentral is "23S ribosomal RNA". It matches the Rfam family "Bacterial large subunit ribosomal RNA". Lineage: Bacteria; Pseudomonadati; Pseudomonadota; Gammaproteobacteria; Enterobacterales; Enterobacteriaceae. The record is from RNAcentral.